RNAcentral lists this ribosomal RNA (367 nucleotides) under Aulosira laxa K88. Its description in RNAcentral is "bacterial SSU rRNA". It matches the Rfam family "Bacterial small subunit ribosomal RNA", at positions 416 to 796 of the family's 1533-position model. The record is from RNAcentral. Lineage: Bacteria; Bacillati; Cyanobacteriota; Cyanophyceae; Nostocales; Fortieaceae.
UCUUGGGUUGUAAACCUCUUUUCUCAGGGAAGAACAUAAUGACGGUACCUGAGGAAUAAGCAUCGGCUAACUCCGUGCCAGCAGCCGCGGUAAUACGGAGGAUGCAAGCGUUAUCCGGAAUGAUUGGGCGUAAAGCGUCCGCAGGUGGCUAUGUAAGUCUGCUGUUAAAGAGUGAGGCUCAACCUCAUAAGAGCAGUGGAAACUACAUAGCUAGAGUGCGUUCGGGGCAGAGGGAAUUCCUGGUGUAGCGGUGAAAUGCGUAGAGAUCAGGAAGAACACCGGUGGCGAAAGCGCUCUGCUAGGCCGCAACUGACACUGAGGGACGAAAGCUAGGGGAGCGAAUGGGAUUAGAUACCCCCAGUAGUCA